RNAcentral lists this ribosomal RNA (414 nucleotides) under uncultured microorganism. Its description in RNAcentral is "bacterial SSU rRNA". It matches the Rfam family "Archaeal small subunit ribosomal RNA", at positions 459 to 872 of the family's 1478-position model. The record is from RNAcentral.
CAGCCGCCGCGGUAAUACCGGCGGCCCGAGUGGCGGCCACUAUUAUUGGGCUUAAAGCGUCCGUAGCCGGGUUGGUUAGUCUCCCGGGAAAUCUGGCCGCUUAACGGUCAGAAUUCCGGGAGAUACUGCCAGCCUAGGGACCGGGAGAGGCCGAGGGUAUUCCCGGAGUAGGGGUGAAAUCCUAUAAUCCCGGGAGGACCACCUGUGGCGAAGGCGCUCGGCUGGAACGGGUCCGACGGUGAGGGACGAAGGCCAGGGGAGCAAACCGGAUUAGAUACCCGGGUAGUCCUGGCUGUAAACGAUGCGGACUUUGUGUCGGACAAGCUAUGAGCUGGUCCGGUGCCGGAGGGAAACCGUUAAGUCCGCCGCCUGGGGAGUACGGCCGCAAGGUUGAAACUUAAAGGAAUUGGCGGG